UACGGAAGGCAGCAGUGGGGAAUAUUGCACAAUGGGCGAAAGCCUGAUGCAGCUAUGCCGCGUGUAUGAAGAAGGCCUUAGGGUUGUAAAGUACUUUCAUCGGGGAGGAAAAAACAAAACUAAUAAUUUUAUUUCUUGACGUUACCCGAAAAAGAAGCACCGGCUAACUCCGUGCCAGCAGCCGCGGUAAUACGGAGGGUGCUAGCGUUAAUCAGAAUUACUGGGCGUAAAGAGCACGUAGGUGGUUUUUUUAAAGUCAGAUGUGAAAUCCCUGGGCUUAACCUAGGAACUGCAUUUUGAAACUGAAAUACUAGAGUAUCGUAGAGGGAGGUAGAAUUCUAGGUGUAGCGGUGAAAUGCGUAGAUAUCUGGAGGAAUACCUGUGGCGAAAGCGGCCUCCUAAACGAAUACUGACACUGAGGUGCGAAAGCGUGGGGAGCAAACAGGGAUUAGAU
RNAcentral lists this ribosomal RNA (454 nucleotides) under uncultured bacterium. Its description in RNAcentral is "bacterial SSU rRNA". It matches the Rfam family "Bacterial small subunit ribosomal RNA", at positions 340 to 783 of the family's 1533-position model. The record is from RNAcentral.